AACGAACGCUGGCGGCAGGCCUAACACAUGCAAGUCGAACGCUCUAGCAAUAGAGAGUGGCAGACGGGUGAGUAACGCGUGGGAACCUUCCCAAUGGUGCAGAAUAGCCCAGGUAAACUUGGGGUAAUACUGCAUAAGCCCUUCGGGGGAAAGAUUUAUCGCCAUUGGAUGGGCCCGCGUCGGAUUAGCUAGUUGGUGAGGGAAUGGCUGACCAAGGCAACGAUCCGUAUCUGUUUUGAGAGAAUGACCAGACACACUGGGACUGCGAGACGUCCCAGACUCCUACGGGAGGCAGCAGUGUGGAAUCUGGGAGAAGGGGCGCAAGCCUGAUCCAGCCAGGCCGGGUGAGGGACGAAGGCCUUAGGGUUGUAAAGCUCUUUUGCCGGGGACGAUAAUGACGGUACCCGGAGAAUAAGUCCCGGCUAACUUCGUGCCAGCAGCCGCCGUAA
This 449-nucleotide ribosomal RNA is filed under the name uncultured bacterium. RNAcentral's name for it is "partial 16S ribosomal RNA". It matches the Rfam family "Bacterial small subunit ribosomal RNA", at positions 29 to 523 of the family's 1533-position model. The record is from RNAcentral.